GUGCCAGCCGCCGCGGUAAUACGUAGGGUGCAAGCGUUAAUCGGAAUUACUGGGCGUAAAGCGUACGCAGGCGGUUUGAUAAGACAGGUGUGAAAUCCCCGGGCUUAACCUGGGAACUGCAUUUGUGACUGUCAGACUAGAGUCCGUUAGAGGGGGGUGGAAUUCCACGUGUAGCAGUGAAAUGCGUAGAGAUGUGGAGGAACACCGAUGGCGAAGGCAGCCCCCUGGGAUGAGACUGACGCUCAUGUACGAAAGCGUGGGGAGCAAACAGGAUUAGAUACCCUGGUAGUCCACGCCCUAAACGAUGUCGACUAGUUGUCGGGUCUUUAUUGACUUGGUAACGCAGCUAACGCGUGAAGUCGACCGCCUGGGGAGUACGGUCGCAAGAUUAAAACUCAAAUAAAUUGACGG
This 411-nucleotide ribosomal RNA is filed under the name uncultured bacterium. RNAcentral's name for it is "bacterial SSU rRNA". It matches the Rfam family "Bacterial small subunit ribosomal RNA", at positions 505 to 916 of the family's 1533-position model. The record is from RNAcentral.